Molecule: ribosomal RNA, 271 nt
Filed under: uncultured bacterium
Lineage: Bacteria
Description: partial 16S ribosomal RNA
Rfam family: Bacterial small subunit ribosomal RNA
Source: RNAcentral
UACGUAGGGUGCGAGCGUUAAUCGGAAUUACUGGGCGUAAAGCGUGCGCAGGCGGUUCUAUAAGACAGAUGUGAAAUCCCCGGGCUUAACCUGGGAACUGCGUUUGUGACUGUAGGACUUGAGUGUGGCAGAGGGGGGUGGAAUUCCGCGUGUAGCAGUGAAAUGCGUAGAUAUGCGGAGGAACACCGAUGGCGAAGGCAAUCCCCUGGACCUGUACUGACGCUCAUGCACGAAAGCGUGGGGAGCAAACAGGAUUAGAAACCCUUGUAGU